RNAcentral lists this ribosomal RNA (278 nucleotides) under uncultured prokaryote. RNAcentral's name for it is "partial 16S ribosomal RNA". It matches the Rfam family "Bacterial small subunit ribosomal RNA", at positions 524 to 800 of the family's 1533-position model. The record is from RNAcentral.
UACGGAGGAUCCGAGCGUUAUCCGGGGUUUAUUGGGUUUAAAGGGUGCGCAGGCGGGGGAUUAAGUCGGCGGUGAAAUUUUGCAGCUCAACUGUAAAAGUGCCUUCGAAACUGGUUUCCUUGAGUGUAGAUGAAGUAGGCGGAAUUUGUGGUGUAGCGGUGAAAUGCUUAGAUAUCACGAGGAACUCCGAUUGCGCAGGCAGCUUACUAAACUACUACUGACGCUCAGGCACGAAGGCGUGGGGAUCAAACAGGAUUAGAUACCCUGGUAGUCCCUGA